AGCUCCAAUAGCGUAUAUUAAAGUUGUUGCAGUUAAAAAGCUCGUAGUUGGAUCUCAGGCGCAGGCGAGCGGUCCGGCUCGCGCCGGUUCACUGCUCGUUGUCUCCUGCCCUACCGUCUGUCGGCUUUCUCCCGCGGGUGCUCUUCACUGAGCGUCCCGGGUGGCCGGCGCGUUUACUUUGAAAAAAUUAGAGUGUUCAAAGCAGGCUGUUACCGCCUGAAUAUUGGUGCAUGGAAUAAUGGAAUAGGACCUCGGUUCUAUUUUGUUGGUUUUCGGAAUUGGAGGUAAUGAUUAACAGGGACAAACGGGGGCAUUCGUAUUGCGGCGUUAGAGGUGAAAUUCUUGGAUCGCCGCAAGACGAGCUACUGCGAAAGCAUUUGUCAAGAAUGUUUUCAUUAAU
This 400-nucleotide ribosomal RNA is filed under the name phytoplankton environmental sample. RNAcentral's name for it is "partial small subunit ribosomal RNA". It matches the Rfam family "Eukaryotic small subunit ribosomal RNA", at positions 587 to 977 of the family's 1831-position model. The record is from RNAcentral.